GCGACCCCAGGUCAGGUGGGAUUACCCGCUGAGUUUA
RNAcentral lists this ribosomal RNA (37 nucleotides) under Capsicum frutescens (tabasco pepper). RNAcentral's name for it is "partial 28S ribosomal RNA". Lineage: Eukaryota; Viridiplantae; Streptophyta; Magnoliopsida; Solanales; Solanaceae. The record is from RNAcentral. RNAcentral also lists the same sequence under 2 other names.